Molecule: long non-coding RNA, 594 nt
Organism: Cornus florida
Lineage: Eukaryota; Viridiplantae; Streptophyta; Magnoliopsida; Cornales; Cornaceae
Exons: 2
Source: RefSeq, a predicted model, not a curated record
ACGGUGUGAGUGGAAGUAGCAAAAGCAUACUUGGAAGGAGUGGAUGUGGAAUUCAUCCUAUGAUUCCUAUCUAUUUAUAACCUCUCAUCCCUGUGAAGCCUUCGUAUUCAUAGAUAAGAAGGAACAAAGAGGAGGCUCUGUGCUAAAAUACAAGGAGGGUGCACACAAUCUUAUCGUGCACCACAAGCAGUUGAAGCUGCCAGCAUGAUCUGAGCUUUCCUUCAUCCCAUGGGAGAGAAUAGAUCAUGUGGCAGUUUCACCUGUUGAUGGGAGCAUGAACCCAAAAAAAACCCUAAUCACCACAAACCCUAAUUUUCAUCUUCUGAUUAGGGUUCCUCUUCCUUGCAAAAAUUCAGAAAAGUAAGUGAUGCUAUGUGAAGAAUCUCAUAAGCAGGUGGGAGGUGUUGUUAGGGUUUUUGGUGACAGAGUUGGUGCUUUUGAGAUCCCUCCACCCUUUUAUUUCUUGGGGAUUGAGUUUUUUUUUAAUAAUAUUUUUUCAUGUACUGUUCUUGUCAAUUCAUGCUCCAUAUGCUUCCUUUUGUGUUCAUUUGUUCUGAUCUAUUUAUAAUAAUAUAUUUCCUUUUGUUUUUUUCA